This 366-nucleotide ribosomal RNA is filed under the name uncultured eukaryote. Its description in RNAcentral is "partial 18S ribosomal RNA". It matches the Rfam family "Eukaryotic small subunit ribosomal RNA", at positions 592 to 976 of the family's 1831-position model. The record is from RNAcentral.
CAAUAGCGUAUAUUAACGUUGUUGCAGUUAAAAAGCUCGUAGUUGGAUUUCUGGAGGGAGCGUCGGCCCGUAUUUACGAGUGCGUGACGUCUCUGUCCAUCCUUGCGGGAAGGCACGGCAUUGAUUUGUUGUGUCGGAUCGCAUCAUUUACUGUGAAAAAAUUAGAGUGUUCAAAGCAGGCUUUCGCUUGAAUACAUUAGCAUGGAAUAAUAAGAUAGGACUUUGGUGCUAUUUUGUUGGUUGAGCCUAAAGUAAUGAUUAAUAGGGAUAGUUGGGGGCAUCUGUAUUGCGUUGUCAGAGGUGAAAUUCUUGGAUUUACGCAAGACAAACAGCUGCGAAAGCGUCUGCCAAGGAUGUUUUCAUUAA